This 370-nucleotide ribosomal RNA is filed under the name uncultured bacterium. RNAcentral's name for it is "partial 16S ribosomal RNA". It matches the Rfam family "Bacterial small subunit ribosomal RNA", at positions 338 to 705 of the family's 1533-position model. The record is from RNAcentral.
CCUACGGGUGGCAGCAGUGAGGAAUAUUGGUCAAUGGGCGCGAGCCUGAACCAGCCAAGUAGCGUGAAGGAUGACUGCCCUACGGGUUGUAAACUUCUUUUAUAAAGGAAUAAAGUGAGGCACGUGUGCCUUUUUGUAUGUACUUUAUGAAUAAGGAUCGGCUAACUCCGUGCCAGCAGCCGCGGUAAUACGGAGGAUCCGAGCGUUAUCCGGAUUUAUUGGGUUUAAAGGGAGCGUAGAUGGGUUGUUAAGUCAGUUGUGAAAGUUUGCGGCUCAACCGUAAAAUUGCAAUUGAUACUGGCAGUGUGAAGUAUGGUUGAGGUAGGAGGAAUUCGUGGUGGGGAGGGGUGAUGCGGAGAUAGUAGGGAGA